Long non-coding RNA from Sorghum bicolor (sorghum), 3120 nucleotides. RefSeq lists it as uncharacterized. The record is from RefSeq and is a predicted model, not a curated record. The transcript has 2 exons. Lineage: Eukaryota; Viridiplantae; Streptophyta; Magnoliopsida; Poales; Poaceae.
UUAGUGGUUUGUCUCGAGAUAUUGGAGGCCACCAAAUUGAACCAAGCCAUGCUCGCGAGCGUGAACAAGUGGAUUUUCUGCAUAUAAGAUUGUUUAGGUAUAAGAAGUUCAAGAGUGAGCGUACGCAACUGAACAUUUUUCAUUUGUAGGAUGAAGGAAUGAUUAGAAAUAUCAUGUUCUUGAAGUAGAAAAUAUAACGUAUAAUAGAGAUAAAUAGUAAAGAAGGGUAUGUAUGUUUGGUUCAAUACGUCUAAAAUGCAUAUGAACACCAUAAUCAUUUGUUGCUUUGGUUCGAGAAAAUGAUAGACAUAAGGGUAGGAUUACAUUGAUUGGCUUUGGGAAAGCUUGUUCAAGGAGAAAGACUCGGUUAAGAAGAAGUAUAGUAAAUUGUUUGACUAAAUGGAUGAGAAGACAUCAUGCGAGCUUAGCUCAGACAUUAUGUUCAUGUAAUCGUUUCCUCUUUUGCUUUCUAGGUUUUUUUUGUGCUCACUGUUACCUGAUAUCCAUCCUAGUUUAUACAAUACUUUUAUAGUUUUAUUAGAAGUUGAGUUCUUUAUCUAAAAAUGUUUAUCUUUUUUAAAAGAUAUAAUGAAUGUCUGUCAUGAGGACCUAGGGACAACCCACGAGUCGCAAAAUUAGUUAUCAUGUAAUCACAAUCUAAAUGCAGUUGACAAGCAGCCAUGUUGCGUCGUGGUGGGGCACAAGUGUAAACGCUUCUCGCGUGAAUGCUGCUAUGCUUGCAAUUUGUAACACUCAAACAUUCUCUUAAUGAAACACGUGUCAAUGGACACAUUCUUGAAAAAAAAACAAUGAAUGUCGUGUCAAGAAAAAAAUAAAACCUGUGAGGCAAACUUCCAUAGAAACGAAUUAAGGUGCCAAAUAUAAGAGGGCCAUGGAACACACUAUGUAGUCAGACACCUUAUUGAAUGAGCUACAAUGUCGGCAUUGCCCAUCACACCACACACAUAUCACCAGUAAUCCAUCUCUCUCUUAAUCACCCUAUAAUCAAUUCAUUAACAACCAGUCCUUAUGGUCUGAUGCAGAUCCAUCCAUCAACCUGUCCCUAUCUUUUUUGGUAGAUUAAUUAGAAAACUCUAGUCUAGCACACUUACCAUGCAUGAUCCUUGAUCCACGACUUGCCAAUUAACCACUAGCACUAGAUCACCUGCUGCAGUACAUUAUUUAACUUUAUCAUGACUGUCGUUGUAUAAAUCACCAUACCACUAGUAUGCUUUUAUUUCCUUCAGAUUCAGAUGAACUAUAUAUUGUCAAUCUGAGAGAGAUAGGGAGGUUGGUGAUCUAGUUACAUGCAGCAUGUUACAUGGUCACUUUCUUUUGGUAAUUGGCUCCCUUUUGGAUGAAUGGACAUAUAUAUAAACUAUCUUGAGCUAAUUUUACCAUAUAUCGAUCUGUUAUCUAUAAAGAGUAAACUAAUAAUGUUCGGUAGAGAUUCAAGCGAUGUGAUGCUGGGAUUAUACAUGCUUUCACGGCGGCAGCGGCGGCAGCGGCGCGGCGAGCAGGAUGCGCACCAGCGUGUCCUCGAACUGGUCUAGCAGCCCCGGGUGCUCGGCCAGCUCGUUGGGCCCGUAGGCGCGCCGUGGCCUUGGCGGAGGAGAGGCCCCGGGAGAUGGAAACCCCAGCUGCGCCCAUCGCCGUCGGAGACGACGGAAGGCGCGUGGAGUCGUUUGGGCGGUUAGUCAGUGUGCGGUGCAUGCAUCAAUAAAAGACCGGCGGUGCCAAGGUAUGCAGCAAGCCGUCGCCCGUCAAUAGCAUCUAUCUGACGCUCCUUGCGUGCUCCACCCAUGCAUGUUCUUAUCAUCGUUUUCUAAAUUUCACCGUAGCUCUUUUCGGGUGCCCUUUUUUUUCAAGUCUUAGCGGGCUAUUCGACUGAUGGUUUUUAUAACUAAUAAGCCAUAGCUGAUUGAUGUUGUUUUGUUGUAAAAGAAAAACAUUGUAUCAUGACUGAUAAGCCUUUUAUCGUGAGAGAAAAACAUUAUACUCUUCUCUUUGUAUAUAAUGCCUUUUGUUUCUAUUGUUUUUUUAAUAAAUUUCAGUAGGGGCCUCUUGUUCUUUUUUUUUAAAAAAAAAAGGUCGCUGUGUAGAAACAUUUACUAGUCUUCCUGGAUCUGCACGUGUUGCAAGAGCAGAACCAAAUGUUGGACGCAAGGCUCCUAGGAAGAAAAGUAUCACCUCUAGCUAAGAUGAAUAAGUAUCACUGGUAGGUUUCUCAUGCAAGUAGACUUGGUAUCUGCAUGACACUUUUGUACGGAUAAAGCAUGUAGAGGUGUUGCGUAGGCUGGGGAGCAAGAGCUCAUCAGAUAAGAAACUAAUGAACUCUUCUGGAAACUGUAGUUGGAACUAGGAUGAAAUGCAUGACAGUGCUCACUAACUGAUCAUAGCAAUGUCAUGAUAAAUGGCACAACUACUACAUGUUUUAAUGCAGAGUACCAAGGCUGAAUAUAUAAUGUAUAUAUUUGCAGGGGAAUAUGAUUGCAAUAUAAAUAUUAGGCAAACUGUUUCUAGUUCAGUAGCUAUGCAUCCAUGACAUUGUUCAAGUAUCUAUUGUAUCCAAGCUUGGUGGUUUAUCCUGAGACAUUGGAGGCCACCAAAUUUAAGUGUUUUGUCGCGAGAGUGAACAAGUGGAGAUCAGUUGCCCAAUGUUUAGCCACGGAUGGAGUGACGAUUUAUGUACAAAAGAUCAAGUCCAUGUUCAUAUUUGAUCCAGUGCAAGAAAAGAUUGAAGAGAACUGUGACUAGGAGUAAGAUCUAGAGGGAGCGGUUUGGGAAUGGUCGGAUGCCGAGUAUGAGGUUCCAUGCACAACAAAUUUAGGUUUCUGUAGCAAUUAUGCCAACCUCUUGAGUGGGUUACCAAAGAAGCCAGAGUUAGGGAAGGAAGCUUAGAAAAAAAUAGGUGGUUCGGAGUUGGGUGGAGAAGAUGUUCUAGAUUCUAUAACGUGGUGAACGACUAUAAUUCGAAGACAAUCCUGUGCAUGUCAUCAAGUUAGACUUGGUCAGACUAAUCGUGGUGUUCAUAGAAAGCCAAUGUUUUCGACAUAUCAAUCAACUAGUCGCCAAUGUUUUCCACAUAUCAAUCAACGUCUACGAAUACUGUGUGACAAA